CAAAUUAAAGCUUAAUAAAGCAUAUUAUUUACACUAAUAAAAAUUAUUGAUUUAUCAAUAUAAUUUGA
RNAcentral lists this transfer RNA (68 nucleotides) under Tryella crassa. RNAcentral describes it as "tRNA-Val". The record is from RNAcentral. Lineage: Eukaryota; Metazoa; Arthropoda; Insecta; Hemiptera; Cicadidae.